RNAcentral lists this ribosomal RNA (484 nucleotides) under uncultured bacterium. RNAcentral's name for it is "partial 16S ribosomal RNA". It matches the Rfam family "Bacterial small subunit ribosomal RNA", at positions 30 to 507 of the family's 1533-position model. The record is from RNAcentral.
AUUGAACGCUGGCGGCAGGCCUAACACAUGCAAGUCGAGCGGAUGAAGGGAGCUUGCUCCUGGAUUCAGCGGCGGACGGGUGAGUAAUGCCUAGGAAUCUGCCUGGUCGUGGGGGAUAACGUCCGGAAACGGGCGCUAAUACCGCAUACGUCCUGAGGGAGAAAGUGGGGGAGCUUCGGACCUCACGCUAUCAGAUGAGCCUAGGUCGGAUUAGCUAGUUGGUGGGGUAAAGGCUUACCAAGGCGACGAUCCGUAACUGGUCUGAGAGGAUGAUCAGUCACACUGGAACUGAGACACGGUCCAGACUCCUACGGGAGGCAGCAGUGGGGAAUAUUGGACAAUGGAGGAAAGCCUGAUCCAGCCAUGCCGCGUGUGUGAAGAAGGUCUUCGGAUUGUAAAGCACUUUAAGUUGGGAGGAAGGGCAGUAAGUUUAUACCUUGCUGUUUUGACGUUACCAACAGAAUAAGCACCGGCUAACUUCGUG